Molecule: ribosomal RNA, 492 nt
Filed under: uncultured bacterium
Lineage: Bacteria
Description: partial 16S ribosomal RNA
Rfam family: Bacterial small subunit ribosomal RNA
Source: RNAcentral
AGUGAACGCUGGCGGUAGGCCUAACACAUGCAAGUCGAACGGCAGCACAGUAAGAGCUUGCUCUUACGGGUGGCGAGUGGCGGACGGGUGAGGAAUACAUCGGAAUCUACUUUUUCGUGGGGGAUAACGUAGGGAAACUUACGCUAAUACCGCAUACGACCUACGGGUGAAAGCAGGGGAUCUUCGGACCUUGCGCGAUUGUAUGAGCCGAUGUCGGAUUAGCUAGUUGGCGGGGUAAAGGCCCACCAAGGCGACGAUCCGUAGCUGGUCUGAGAGGAUGAUCAGCCACACUGGAACUGAGACACGGUCCAGACUCCUACGGGAGGCAGCAGUGGGGAAUAUUGGACAAUGGGCGCAAGCCUGAUCCAGCCAUACCGCGUGGGUGAAGAAGGCCUUCGGGUUGUAAAGCCCUUUUGUUGGGAAAGAAAAGCAGCAGGUUAAUACCCCGCUGUUCUGACGGUACCCAAAGGAUAAGCACCGGCUAACUUCGUG